UUAAGUUCAGCGGGUAUCCUCGUCUGAUCUGAGGUCAAACCUUAGAAAAUUUAGGUUAUUGUUCAGGCGGAGCUUACCUUCCCUUAGUUGAACAGGUUGAAUGGAUUCUACUAUGUUCUUUCAGGUUUGGUGACCCGCAGAGCGUGCCAAUUUAAAGCCCAACCCAGUGAGGGUCGAAGGCUCACAACCGAUCUGGAGUU
This 200-nucleotide unclassified non-coding RNA is filed under the name soil metagenome. RNAcentral's name for it is "partial internal transcribed spacer 2". The record is from RNAcentral.